GGGGAAUAUUGCACAAUGGGGGAAACCCUGAUGCAGCAACGCCGCGUGAAGGACGAAGGCCUUCGGGUUGUAAACUUCUGUUAAUGGGGACGAUAAUGACGGUACCCAUAGAGGAAGCCACGGCUAACUACGUGCCAGCAGCCGCGGUAAUACGUAGGUGGCGAGCGUUGUCCGGAAUUACUGGGCGUAAAGGAUGCGUAGGCGGAAAGAUAAGUGAGAUGUGAAAUACCCGGGCUUAACCUGGGGGGUGCAUUUCAAACUGUUUUUCUAGAGUGCAGGAGAGGAAAGUGGAAUUUCUAGUGUAGCGGUGAAAUGCGUAGAUAUUAGGAAGAACACCAGUGGCGAAGGCGACUUUCUGGACUGUAACUGACGCUGAGGCAUGAAAGCGUGGGGAGCAAAC
This 400-nucleotide ribosomal RNA is filed under the name uncultured bacterium. Its description in RNAcentral is "bacterial SSU rRNA". It matches the Rfam family "Bacterial small subunit ribosomal RNA", at positions 356 to 773 of the family's 1533-position model. The record is from RNAcentral.